AUGUGGAACGAUGAGCUGCAGGUUUCUAUAUAUAGUGCUUCCUUUCAUGCUAUUUUAGCUAAUGUUAUUCAUAGGGCCUCGGGUAUUGAGUUUGGUUUAGUUUGCAUCUAUGGUGAUCCAUACCACCGUCAAACUAAGGCUAUUUGGGACCAGGUUGCUAAUUUUGUGUAUGAUAACUUAGGCAAGCCUAUGUUAUGUAUGGGUGACUUGAAUGAUAUCAUGUAUGAUAUUGAUAAGUGUAAUGCUAAUGUUAAUUUUUGCCGUAUGUCUGCUUUUCGUGCUUUGAUAAAAAAUUGUGGGUUCUUUGACAUUGGUUAUAGUGGGCCGGCUUACACUUGGCGCAAUAAGCAGCACAUGGUUAAUCCUAUCUAUCAACGUUUGGAUUGUUGUUUAGUCAAUCCGGAUUGGUGUACUAUUUACCCUAAUACGAAAGUGCCAAAUUUACCUAUCAUUUUAAGCGAUCAUGCGCCUAUUCUGAUUUCCACAGAGGGUCAGUUUUGUAAACCUAAGCAAUCUUUCAAAUUUGAAAAUUGGUGGUUGCUAGAAAAAGAUUUCCAUGAUCAUGCUAAGGCAGCCUGGAAUAGUACCAGGUCAGCCUCUUUUUCUGCCAGGACCUCUUCUCUUGCAGGUUCAUUAAAGAGAUGGUGCAGGAAGAAAAAACCUAUCCAGCAGGAGUUAAAAGACAUUGAGGGACAAAUCAAUUAG
This 705-nucleotide ribosomal RNA is filed under the name Triticum aestivum (bread wheat). Its description in RNAcentral is "partial small subunit ribosomal RNA". Lineage: Eukaryota; Viridiplantae; Streptophyta; Magnoliopsida; Poales; Poaceae. The record is from RNAcentral.